RNAcentral lists this transfer RNA (75 nucleotides) under Cordylochernes scorpioides. RNAcentral's name for it is "tRNA-Thr". The stretch from base 9 to 66 matches the Rfam family "tRNA", at positions 8 to 63 of the family's 71-position model. From Rfam's summary of the family: Transfer RNA (tRNA) molecules are approximately 80 nucleotides in length. Their secondary structure includes four short double-helical elements and three loops (D, anti-codon, and T loops). The record is from RNAcentral. Lineage: Eukaryota; Metazoa; Arthropoda; Arachnida; Pseudoscorpiones; Chernetidae.
GUCCUAGCUAGCCUAGUGGUCAUGGCAUCUGCGCGGUAAGCGGAAGGUCGUGGGUUCGAUUCCCAUCCCUUGACA